UGUUCUUUUGUGAUGACGACAAUUUACCUUAGUGGAGAACCCACACAAAUAUAACAAAAUAAAAAAAACAAAUAAAACAACAAAUUACCAUUUAUAACAAUAUAUCUAACAAUGACAUUGUGUAAUGCCCGACUUUUCCCUAUUCCUUUAGAGUUGUUUUUUGAUUACUGUCGAAUUUUUUUUAGCCAACUAUCGUUUCGUUUUAUUUUGAGAGCCUAUGGAAUUUAUUUUUUUUAAGAAGCCGAAAUAUUAAAUAAUUGUCAUAUUCUUCGUGUAGUCAAAUUUAAGUCAAAUAAAUAUCUCACAAUCCCAUUACUAUACGGUUGUCUCCAUAUCUCCUUCUUUCCUUAAAAAUCUCCAACCAAAUACUCUUUGUUAAAUCUAUUUAUACUUUUCCUCCCACAAUCUCAGCAACCUACCGUUCCUGCAGUUUUCUUCCCCUUCCAACCAAGUUGAGAAGAAAUAGUUCGAGUAAGAGAGCCGAGAGUCCCCCAAAUUGUUUUCCUGCAACUCUUUGCAACAAAGGUUGGUUUCUGGGCUGCGCGGUGUCGUUUCGGGGCUGUUCGAAGAGCGAGCAGACCCGUGGCGACUGCAGACGGCGAUGGCACUGAGCGACGGCGUGGACGCGGCCAGCAUCAGCUCUUCCCGGCGGCGACAGCAGCGUCUUCCAGGCACGGUUACAACAGCACCGUUCCCUCCCGACGAGCAGUGGCCGGCGGCAUGGAGCGAAUCGGAAGAGGCGACGAAAAUUUGGGGAUCUUGUUUUCUUCCAUUUUGUGAGAGAAGGCGAAUUAGAAUAGAGAGAGAAGUCGAUGGUUUUGGGUGGAUGGUUUUUCAUUCAUUCUUUUGUUUUAUACUUUAAUGAAUUCAUACUUUAGUAGUUGAGGUGUAAAUUAAAGUGGAAGUAGAGGGGAGUAUACGUGUAAUUUUUGUAACAGGAGGUGUGCCCUUUAGUUCCAUAUUUUAAAUUUAACUAGUUCCUCUUCAA
Molecule: long non-coding RNA, 988 nt
Organism: Salvia splendens (bonfire salvia)
Lineage: Eukaryota; Viridiplantae; Streptophyta; Magnoliopsida; Lamiales; Lamiaceae
Exons: 3
Source: RefSeq, a predicted model, not a curated record